This 937-nucleotide ribosomal RNA is filed under the name Tuber sp. RNAcentral describes it as "partial large subunit ribosomal RNA". It matches the Rfam family "Eukaryotic large subunit ribosomal RNA", at positions 34 to 992 of the family's 3401-position model. The record is from RNAcentral. Lineage: Eukaryota; Fungi; Ascomycota; Pezizomycetes; Pezizales; Tuberaceae.
GUAGCAUAUCAAUAAGCGGAGGAAAAGAAACCAACAGGGAUUGCCUCAGUAACGGCGAGUGAAGCGGCAGAAGCUCAAAUUUGAAAUCUGGCGUCAGUGGCGUCCGAGUUGUACUUUGGAGAGGCAUCUUCUGGAGGGGCCCAGCCUAUGUGCCUUGGAACAGGACGUCGCAGAGGGUGAGAAUCCCGUUCUCGGCUGGAUGUCCCCUCCUGUUUGCAGUGUCUUCUACGAGUCGAGUUGUUUGGGAAUGCAGCUCAAAAUGGGUGGUAAAUUUCAUCUAAAGCUAAAUAUUGGCGAGAGACCGAUAGCGCACAAGUAGAGUGAUCGAAAGAUGAAAAGCACUUUGAAAAUAGAGUCAAACAGUACGUGAAAUUGUUGAAAGGGAAGCGCUUGAGACCAGACUCGGCCUUUGACAAACAGCGAUCCCACUGGGUCGUGCACUUGUCAUCGGUCGGGCCAGCAUCGGUUGGGAUGGCGGGAUAAAGGCCCGGGGAAUGUGACUCCAUCCAGGAGUGUUAUAGCCCUUGGCGCCAUGCCGCCCGUCCCGACCGUGGACCGCGCCUCGGCUAGGAUGCUGGCGUAAUGGUCUUCAGCGGCCCGUCUUGAAACACGGACCAAGGAGUCUAACGUCUAUGCGAGUGUUUGGGCUCCAAACCCUCACGCGUAAUGAAAGUGAACGGAGGUGGGAACCCCGCAGGGGGAGCACCAUCGACCGAUCCUGAUGUCUUCGGAUGGAUUUGAGUAGGAGCAUAGCCGUUGGGACCCGAAAGAUGGUGAACUAUGCCUGAAUAGGGUGAAGCCAGAGGAAACUCUGGUGGAGGCUCGCAGCGGUUCUGACGUGCAAAUCGAUCGUCAAAUUUGGGUAUAGGGGCGAAAGACUAAUCGAACCAUCUUAUUGCUGGUUCCUGCGAUCUCUCUCUCUCUAGUAGUUAUUAAA